GAUGAACGCUGGCGGCGUGCCUAAUACAUGCGAGUCGAGCGAACAGACGAGGAGCUUGCUCCUCUGACGUUAGCGGCGGACGGGUGAGUAACACGUGGAUAACCUACCUAUAAGACUGGGAUAACUUCGGGAAACCGGAGCUAAUACCGGAUAAUAUUUUGAACCGCAUGGUUCAAUAGUGAAAGACGGUUUUGCUGUCACUUAUAGAUGGAUCCGCGCCGCAUUAGCUAGUUGGUAAGGUAACGGCUUACCAAGGCGACGAUGCGUAGCCGACCUGAGAGGGUGAUCGGCCACACUGGAACUGAGACACGGUCCAGACUCCUACGGGAGGCAGCAGUAGGGAAUCUUCCGCAAUGGGCGAAGGCCUGACGGAGCAACGCCGCGUGAGUGAUGAAGGUCUUCGGAUCGUAAAACUCUGUUAUUAGGGAAGAACAAAUGUGUAAGUAACUAUGCACGUCUUGACGGUACCUAAUCAGAAAGCCACGGCUAACUACGUG
RNAcentral lists this ribosomal RNA (497 nucleotides) under uncultured bacterium. Its description in RNAcentral is "partial 16S ribosomal RNA". It matches the Rfam family "Bacterial small subunit ribosomal RNA", at positions 28 to 507 of the family's 1533-position model. The record is from RNAcentral.